This 209-nucleotide unclassified non-coding RNA is filed under the name Hevea brasiliensis (rubber tree). Lineage: Eukaryota; Viridiplantae; Streptophyta; Magnoliopsida; Malpighiales; Euphorbiaceae. The record is from RNAcentral.
UAACAAUGAAGUGUACCAUUCUACAUUCCCCAAGACCCAAGCCUAAACUAUAUUUCAUUUCAUCUUUUCUUGACUUCAAAUCCACAGAUUAGAAUUAGAUUUAACCUAUGAGAGGAUUAUAAAGUUUCAUAACAGCUACUAAAUCCUUCCUAUUUUCUUUCCAAUUAUGCAAAAAAUGGCUCACUUCAUUGUUAGCUAGUGAAAAGCUA